Molecule: long non-coding RNA, 200 nt
Organism: Tachysurus fulvidraco (yellow catfish)
Lineage: Eukaryota; Metazoa; Chordata; Actinopteri; Siluriformes; Bagridae
Exons: 2
Source: RefSeq, a predicted model, not a curated record
GCUUAUGUCCACUCACAUACGCAGUAGCCCCUUGUAGAAAGGUCGUGUGAAGAAGGCAUCGAGCAGAUACUGAUGGAUGAGAGCCAGGCCGAGGAUGCGGCCACUGAAGCGAAACCUUGAGAGACGCAGACGGACACUGUAAUAAAGUUUCUCAGUAAAACAGCCACAGCUGUGAGUUUCUCAGACCACUCGUGAUGAUU